RNAcentral lists this ribosomal RNA (253 nucleotides) under uncultured bacterium. RNAcentral's name for it is "partial 16S ribosomal RNA". It matches the Rfam family "Bacterial small subunit ribosomal RNA", at positions 524 to 776 of the family's 1533-position model. The record is from RNAcentral.
UACGGAGGGUGCAAGCGUUAUCCGGAUUCACUGGGUUUAAAGGGUGCGUAGGCGGAUAUGUAAGUCCGUGGUGAAAUCUCCGGGCUCAACCCGGAAACUGCCAUUGAUACUAUUAGUCUUGAAUUUUGUUGAGGUAGGCGGAAUAAGUCAUGUAGCGGUGAAAUGCAUAGAUAUGACUUAGAACACCAAUUGCGAAGGCAGCUUACUAAGCAAAUAUUGACGCUGAGGCACGAAAGCGUGGGGAUCAAACAGG